Vicugna pacos (alpaca) is the source of this 6599-nucleotide non-coding RNA. Lineage: Eukaryota; Metazoa; Chordata; Mammalia; Artiodactyla; Camelidae. The record is from RefSeq and is a predicted model, not a curated record.
GUCCAUGGACAGAUGACUGGAUAAAAAAGUUGUAUAUAUACACAAUGGAAUAUUACUCAGCCAUAAAAAGUGAAAUAAAGCCACUUGCUGCAACAUGGACCUAGAGAUUAUCCUACUAACUGAAGUAGGUCAGAUGGGGAAAAUCAAAUACAUGAUAUCACUUAUAUGUGGAAUAUAAAAAAUGGAGCAAAUGAACUUAUUUACAAAACAAGCAGACUCAGAAAAUAAACUUAGGUUACCUAAGGGGAUAGGGAUGGGGGAGGGAUUAAUUAGAAGUUUGGGAUUAGCAGUUAUAAACUACAUAUGUAAAAUAGAUAAACAACAAGGUAAUACUGUGUAACAGUAAUAACCUAUUGUAAUAACCUAUAUUGAAAAAAUAUAACUAUCAUUUGCUGUACACCAGAAACUAACACAACAUUGUAAAUCAACUAAACUACAAUUUUUUUAAACAGGCUGUAUAUUGUAUGUUUGUAUUUACAUGAAAUGUCCAGACGGGGCAAAUCUGUAGAGACAAAGUAGAUUAGUGGCUGAGACCUUGAGGGGUGGUGGUGGGUGGGGGCCAUGGGCAAUAAAAAGUGACCGCCUAAUGGGUAUCAGGUUUCUUUUCCGGGUGAUGAAACAUCCCGGAAUUACUGGAGAUGAUUUCACAACGUUGUAAGUCUGCUAAAACCCAUGGAAUUGUACACCAUGGAAGGGUGACUUCUAUGGUGUAGGAAUUACAUUUCAAUGAAAAGCCACCACCUCCAAGCCCUGUCUGGCAGCAGGCCGGAGUUGGCCCACUGGCUACCUCAGUCCAGGUAAGUAGGUUUGUAAGAAUAAAACAGUUUUCUUCUCCCUUCUCCACAGAGUUGUUGGCCCUCUGUAUCCUCACGUUCCACACCCACAGGUCGAAAAUACUUGAGAAAAACAAUCCGGAAAACUCUAAACGCCAGAACUUGAGUUUGUGGCAUGCUGACAGCUGUUUACAUUGUAUUGGGUACUGCAAAUAAUCCAGACGUGAUUUAAAGUGUACAAGAGGAUGUGCAUAGGUUAUGUGCAAAUAUCACAGCAUUUUAUGCAAAGGGCUUGAGCAUGUAUGGAUUUGGGUGUCUGGGGGGAUUCUGGGGCCAAUUCGCAUAUCUGGCUGGGUGACUUUCAAGUGCUGUUUAGAAGAGGGUUUUCUGACUCAGGUGUGCUGUCGAUGUCUGUCUUCAUCGCUUGAUAAUUAGAAUGUAUUUGGAAUUUUUAAAAUCCUUUGAUGGCAGCUGAGACUUCCGGACCCAGAAUAUGGUCAAAUCUUGUAAAUCCCUUUGUGUCACUGAGUAGGACGUGUUGUCAGCAGAUCUCGUGAGCAACAUCCUACAUGCGUCCGAAAGACCAGGAGGCGGAGAGAAAUGAGUUGGUAAAAACAGAUUCUAAGUCAUUCCACAUAGAGGCAAUGAGAAGAGGAACAGAAGGGUAGAAGAAAUUGAAAGCAUGAAAGGGAGGUGGCAGAUUUAGGCCCCAGUGUAUCUGUAAGCACAUUAAGUAUAAUUGGAACUAGGUACCAGUUAACAAAGAUUGUCAGAUUGGAUUUUCUAAAAAAAAAUGCCAUUAAAUAGUAAUCACAAGAAAGCUGAUGCCCCUAUAUUUGAUAUCAGAGAAAUGACUUGAAAUGAGAAGGUUGUGCUCGAUGUAAAGAAGGUAAUCUCACAAUGAUAAGAAGACUGGCUUCACCUAUGAAAUACAAAGUCUACAUUUUAUGCCUCUAUAACCAUGACUUCAAAAUACAUAAAGCAAAAAUUUACCAAAUAGGAAAACAGGCAAUUCUACAAUGAAAGUGGGAGUUUAACAAUUUCCUUAGUAUUAAUUUUUUUAAGCUGAAUUAAUUUAGAAACAAGUAGCGGUGUGCCUACCCCAAGUAAACUUGGUCUUUUGGACGUGUACAUAACUUGGCUUCCCUGAACUUCAAGUCGGGAGAAUCAAAACAGUGAGUGAUGCUAAGUAUAAGUUUAGGAGCAGCACCCAGGACGCAGGCUUUGCUUGCUCCAGCCUGACCCUUUCUGUGAGCCCUGGCGCUAGCUGCUCCAGGUCCUCCAUCCUGUCGGAGGGAAGAGACCAGGCUAGAGCCGGGGUGAGCUCCGUGGCCCAGAUUUGCCCUCCCCUGCAGGCCUGCACCACGGCGGUGCCGGAGCCGGAGCCGUCUCCAGUGGCCUCUUCUACGACGCGGUUCACCAGAACCCCCGCACUAACGCUGCCUCCCUUUUUGAUGAUUCCGCUUCUUAGGAUAGAUUUUCUUUCUUUCUUUCUUUCUUCUUUUUUUUUUUUUACCACCGGCUUCUCCGUUCAAUCCAUGAACUGCUUCCGCCUAGGUGACUUGGCAGUGGGUGAGUUUGAGGAGCCUUUUGGUGCCUUUGGCUGCUGUGACUUCGGUGGUCUGAGUAGAGGUUCGCGCGGAGCCCCUGAGGCCCACCUGUGGGGCUUGGAAUGCAGGCGUCCCUGGAGAAUUACCAAGGCGGCCCACCAGGGGGCGCUUUGUUCCCAAUGAGUAAACGGUUCAUGUAAAGGAGGAGGUCCUGCGUACUGUCAAGCAUGGAGAGAAGGAAGGCACCAGGUUCAUCUUCCCAGAUGAAUGAUGACAGGGCUGAGAACAUCUCUCAGACGUCCUUGUGCCCAAAGACAAGUUCCAUGCACACUUAUGCAGGGGUGCACGAGUGUGGUCCAGAGUUCAUCGCUGAGUCACAAGGACGUGGAACCUGGAUCCGUUUUCAGCUGUGUGGCAUGUGGUUACCUCCUGACCAUUCCGCCAUUACUGGAGGAUUCCUCUGCACUGCGAUGAAGUCGUCAAGCCAGGUAUGUAGUCUCCACAGGGAGGGGCUCCUCUUUCCCGUGGUGCCACCCGAGGGGAGGUGUCAGUGUCAAGAUCAUUUUGUUUCCCGAGUAGCAUCAUGAGACAGACCCUGACAUAUUUGUAGGCCUUGCCCUGCUCUUCUGUUUCAGCAUUAAAAAAAAAAAGUGUCCAGUUAGACACCUCUACCGAACAACCUCCCACUAGUACUUCCGGGCACUGGUUAUAUUUUCUAACCUACGACAACAACAGUGCUGCUUUCUGCGGAAAUGUUCCUGUCCCUGCUCCUGGUCCUCUUGGGAGUGGGUGCUGCCUUGUAAAGGCAGGGAGUAGGGAGAACUGGCACAAGUUGGGUCAAUUUUUAUGUCCUUAGCUUGGAAGCCAUUUCCAUCCAGUGGCUGGAGAGAGACCUGGGUGCUGCUCGAAACACGAAUAGAUUUCUUGCCCAGGCCUGCAAAUAGAAUGUCUUCCUUCCCUCCCAGUUUAAGGCCUGCCCUCUGCUUAGUCUUCUGGCCAGUGUCCAACAGUCAAGUAGCCGGGGCUCCUGCAGGCAUUCAUGCAUCACUGCCCUUCCCGCAGAACGGCUUGCCCCGACUCUGGGUUGAGACAGGAAGGGGAGGGCAGUAGCCUCUCAAUACUUUUCAUUUGGGGGUGAGUGUUGAACAAGACCCACAGCGAGGUUCCUAAUAGCUCCCCGGCUUCCCCACACUUGGAGCUGGAUGGUCUAUUCUCCCUACUACUCCAGAGGGUAUACACGCAGGGUGGGGAAACAGCAGGGUGGGAACUGCUGUACUUUCCCGUUGAGGCUGAGCUAUGGGGUGGGGAGCAGAGUCCAGCUCCUCAGCCUCCACUGGGAAAGUUAAGGUGCUCUUGGAAGCGGGAGGCAGCGACUCGUCAUGAAGACUUUCAGGGUCACAGAUGUCCCUCUAUGCCUCUGAAGCCAGAGUCUAGUCCACCCAAACUUCUAGUUUCUAAUUUGUGACACGUGGAGCUACUUUUCUUGGACCCUUCCUGGAGGUUGGGUGGGGGAAAUUAGCUCUACGAAGCCCAUAGCCCCACUCACUGCCAGGCGUGUAACGUUUAAAGCGCUGAGGGAGUGGCAGGAAGCACUGCUUUAGCUCGGUCAUGCGAUUGGGUCUUUCUUAGAUUUCCUCAUUUGGACAAUUCCCUGGAUUUUUCCCCAAUUUUUAAAUUGUAGUAAAAUACACUUAAAAUUUACCAUCUUAACCAUUUUUAAGUGUACAGUUCAGUAGAAUUAAAUACAUCCAUAAUGUUGCACAGCCACCACCACCAUCCAACUCCAUAACUCAUUUCAUCUUGUAAAACUGAGACACUAUACCCAUUAAACAGUAAUUCAAUAGCCCCUCAUUCCCCCUUUACCCAACCCCUGGAAGCCACCUCUCUGCUUUCUGUCUCUAUGAUUUUGACUAAUAUAAGUAUUUCAUGUGAGUGUAAUCAUACAGUAUUUGUCCUUUUGUGACUGGCUUAUUUCACUUAGUGUAAUGCUUUUAUUAACCCCAAACAAUAAAACAGCCAGUUAUUUUACCAGCAAAGUGGGUUUAUUCAGAAGCAGCAAAGAACUGAAAUUUUGGACAUGCAACUGUGGUGAGCAAACCACAUGGAAGUCUGGUAAAGCAAAGGAGAGGAGACUUGCAUAGAGGAGAACAGAAAUUUGAGGUGGUGGUGGAGGGCUGUUAUCAAAAAAAAUCCAUCGCAGGAAACUGGGAGUUCAAAGUGCAGUCACUUUUUAUUGUCUGAGUUACGACGGUCUCUCAUGGCUGAGCUGUUGCCAAGCAGCGAGAAAAUCUUUCUUCCUUUUGCUGGUGGUGUUAGGGUACUGUCACUUCCUGCCACAGAUGCAAGUUAAGGCCUCUUCCUGUUGGGAUCUGUAUUGAGAGCUCCCCCUUCUGGUCUCCGGACUCCGUUUUAAUGAAGUUUCCCUUUAUUAGUUAUCACAUCCUCAAGGUUCAUCUGUGUUGUAUUAUAUUGCAGAAUUUCCUUUCCUUUUAGGCUGAAUAAUAAUCCAUUUUAUGUAUCUACCACAUUUUAUCUGUCUGCUCAUCUGUUGAUGGACAGUUGGGUUGCUUCCAUGUUUUAGCUAUCACAUAUCUCCUUGGGACCCUCCUUUCAAUUCUUAUGUACAGAUACCCAGAUGUGGAAUUGCCACAUCAUAUAGUAAUACGACUUCUCAUUUGCUGAAGAACUGCCAUCCUGUUUUCCAGCGGCUGUACCGUCUUACAUUCCUACCAGCAGUGCACACGAUUCUAAUUGCUCCACAUUCUUGCCGUUGCUUGUUGGUCUUAAUUGUUUUGAUAGUACUGCCCUAGUGGGUAUGAGAUACUGUUUCAUUGCACUUUCACUUUGCAUUCCCCUAAUGAAUAGUGAGAUUGAACAUUUUUUCAUAUUGCUUAUUUGCCAUAUGUGUAUCUUCUGUGGGAAAAUGUCUGUAUAAGUUCUUCACCAAUUUUUGAAUUGGGUUAUUUCUGAGGGUUUUUUUUUUGAGGUUUAAGGAUUCUCUCUAUAUUCUGGAUAUUAAUCCCUUAUCAGGUAUAUGAUUUCCAGAUAAUUUCUCCCCUUAAGUGGAUUGUCUUUUUACUCUGAUGAUUCUGCUUUUGAUGCACAAAAGCUUUUGAAAUUUUAUGAAGUUCAGCUUGUCUAUUUUUCCUUGUGUUACCUGUGCCUCUGGUGUCAAAUCCAAAGAAGUCAUUGCCAUAUCUAAUGUGAAAUUUUUGCCCUAUGUUUUCUUCUACAAGUUUUAUUUACAUGUAGGGCUUUGAUCCACUUGGAGUUAAUUUUGGUAAAUGGUGUUAUGUAAGGGUCCAACUUUAUCCAUUUGCAUGUGGAUAUCCAAUUUUCCCGGCACCAUUUGUUGAAAGAACUGUCCUUUCCCCACAUUUUCCCACAUUGCCCAGAACUUGGGUGAGAGAAUUUUCUGCUUGUUCCAGGAAGCGAUCUCACACCCCCUAACCAGGAUUGUGAAGGAUCUUUGUAUAUAAGCUGUGAAAAAACUUGAGACCAAAUACAACCCAUGGGGGGAAAAAAAAACUUAAGAGACCAAAGGAGAAUUGUCUCUCAACAUGGUGCAACUUUCCCUUUAAAACAUGAGGAUAACCAAUCCUCUGAACAAAAAGUUCUGCUGAAAAUUUUUGGCACCAAGACUAAACUUGAUUGUGUAACACACUGGAGUUGUAAAGAUUGAGAGAGACAAGAAGAGACAGAAUUACCAAGAGGCUUGAUAGAAAUCAGCUCCAAGGGUGAGGGGACUUUAAAUUGGAUGAGGCAAUGAUGGGUGACAGCAAAUAAAAAGAAAGGCAAAUACAACGCUUUCAGAAUAAAUUGAAAUGUCUUUUUUUUAAAAAAAUGUGUUAUCUUGAUGGAUAAGAAGACUUUAGCCACUAGCUACACACAUAACAAAUUAUUCUGAGUAGACUGCUGAUGUAAAUUUUAAGGGUAUAAGAUGAUGAUUUUAGAAGAAAACGAAGGAGAAUAUUUCUAAGAUCUUAUAAUAAGAAAGCACGUCUUAAAUAGAACAAAAAUACUGACUAUAAAGGAGGACAUGACAAAUAUCAUAUUGAAAUCAGGAGCUUCUAGAAAAGAAAAGUAGCACAUGAUAUCACUCAUGUAGAAUCUUAAAAAAAAGGAAAAAAAAGGACACUGUGAACUCAUCUACAAAACAGAAACCAACUCUCAGGCAUAGUAAACAAUCUUAGGGUUACAGGGGAAAGGAGUUGGGAAGGGGUGAAUUUGGGAGUUUGAGAUUUACAAAUGUUAGCCACGAUGUAUAAAAAUAGAU